UACGUAGGGUGCGAGCGUUAAUCGGAAUUACUGGGCGUAAAGCGUGCGCAGGCGGUUUUGUAAGCCAGAUGUGAAAUCCCCGGGCUUAACCUGGGAAUGGCAUUUGGGACUGCAAGGCUUGAGUGCGGCAGAGGAGACUGGAAUUCCUGGUGUAGCAGUGAAAUGCGUAGAUAUCAGGAGGAACACCGAUGGCGAAGGCAGGUCUCUGGGCUGACACUGACGCUCAUGCACGAAAGCGCGGGGAGCAAACAGG
RNAcentral lists this ribosomal RNA (253 nucleotides) under uncultured bacterium. RNAcentral's name for it is "partial 16S ribosomal RNA". It matches the Rfam family "Bacterial small subunit ribosomal RNA", at positions 524 to 776 of the family's 1533-position model. The record is from RNAcentral.